This 426-nucleotide ribosomal RNA is filed under the name uncultured Cohnella sp. RNAcentral describes it as "bacterial SSU rRNA". It matches the Rfam family "Bacterial small subunit ribosomal RNA", at positions 355 to 774 of the family's 1533-position model. The record is from RNAcentral. Lineage: Bacteria; Bacillati; Bacillota; Bacilli; Caryophanales; Paenibacillaceae.
UAGGGAAUCUUCCACAAUGGGCGCAAGCCUGAUGGAGCAACGCCGCGUGAGUGAGGAAGGCUUUCGGGUCGUAAAGCUCUGUUGCCAGGGAAGAACGCCUAGGAGAGUAACUGCUCUUAGGGUGACGGUACCUGAGAAGAAAGCCCCGGCUAACUACGUGCCAGCAGCCGCGGUAAUACGUAGGGGGCAAGCGUUGUCCGGAAUUAUUGGGCGUAAAGCGCGCGCAGGCGGUUCUUUAAGUCUGGUGUCUAAGUGCGGGGCUCAACCCCGUGAUGCACUGGAAACUGGGGAACUUGAGUGCAGAAGAGGAGAGCGGAAUUCCACGUGUAGCGGUGAAAUGCGUAGAGAUGUGGAGGAACACCAGUGGCGAAGGCGGCUCUCUGGACUGUAACUGACGCUGAGGCGCGAAAGCGUGGGGAGCAAACA